AUGCAAGUGGGGGCCAUGUGACCGCGACGACUGUAACACAGCCCGUGCUGAGACCUGCGCAUCAGUCUGAUGGACCAGACCCCCAGGAUCCCCUCCAGUCACAUGUUCUUCAUAGACUCUGUGACCGGCGAGGUGUCUCUCACUGAGGACGGGACAGAAAUCCUCACGGUUCAAGCAGCCGACAACGAUGAUCCGAAAACCGAUAACGUGACAAUCUUCUAGCGGCUGGUUGGCCAGAUCCUAGAGAGCUCUAGUGCCUUGUUCCAGGUGGACCGUGACUCUGGGGUCAUCUCAGUGCAGGCAGGCAACCUGGAGGGAGCUGCCCCACAGUACACACUGACCAUCACUGCCGAGGACGCUAAAGGCUUAAACAGCUCCUGUACUGUGGUUGAGACAGUGCAGGACGAGAACGACAACCCACCCGUCUUCACUCAACACGAGGAGCCUUUACCCAGGCUGAAGAGAGGACCGACAGCGUGAUUUUUGGUUUGGGGGGGGAUAGAAGUGAUUCAGAGCACUCAUUGCAAAUCUAUCUGCUUAGACAGUAUAUUCGUUUUUUUCUUUUCUGUUGAAUGGCAGCUGUUUGAACUCUCCCUCCAGGUCACUGAUUUGCUUUCCCAGAGGGGAGAGAGAUGGAGUGCUUUUAGGGGGAUCCAAGCUUAAAUCUCAGGCUUAUACAAAUGUAGGACCUUCAUUUGAGCCAGUUCGCUACAGCAGUGAAGUAAUCCUUCAGCAACAGAAAAUGUGAAUUGUUACGUGGCUUAUAAUUAAUGGACAAUGAAUUAAGUCAAGUCUGAAAUGUAAAAGUGGGAGUUACAAACUUCAGAAGCAUUAAAAAAAUUUAAAAAAAUGUAUCUCAAAUACGCUACACGUUUGACAUUUCCUGCAUUGCAGGACAGUUCUCCUACAACAGGGUGAUCAAAUUAAUAUGCUACAUCUGUGGAGAUGGAAGCGUAUUAUUGUAGGGUUUAUUUCUCAUUGUGCUCCAAAUGGACAAUGUUCUCUGAGUUAAUCUGAAUAAGCCUCAGAUGAGUCCUGUGAGAAUCCUUUAUUUAUAGAAUAAGGCAAAUCCCCAGCGUCACCAUAAGAAAGCUCUAAAUGAUAUCCCUGACACUUGCGGCAGUCAGAACAUUUCACAUCUUCAUAGGAAAAUCGUUGCACUGAGCAACAUUUACUAUCACGUCUGAGCUCACCGGUAAAAAAAAAAGUAGUUUUUAAUGAAAUAUGAAAUACUUUGUUAAAAGUGAAAAAAUGCAUCCCUUCUAGUACAGAAAUGAACUGCAUCGUUCUGCAAUUUUGUCAAGAAAGAAAACUCAUACGAGCUCUCGUUAGCCGCACAGUGUUGUCAUCUCCUCUGGUUCGGGGGGAGUGUAGCUGAGCCUACCAUUGAAAUGGACCUCAGUCUUAACAUAAAGGCUAUUUCUGAUCUAUGAGAGCAUCUCUGGGGACAGUCAGUGUUUCCAGUGGUCUUUUCCAUAGUCAAUCCUCAUGAAUAAUGAAGUCACCGCUGAGGUCUCCAUGAGACAACAUUUGGUUAGUGCUGGCCUCAAGGUAUGCAGUAUACGGGCCAAAGAUAGACCCUUUUCUAACACACUGUUACGGAGCAGAAAACAGUCUAGACCCACACCUCCUGAAUAAUACAGGAGACAGGAUAGUCAUCUUAAAAUGGGGACUUGACAAUGGGACACAAAGCUCUCGUUGUCCUCACUGGUGCUAAGUCAAUGUAAACCCCAACUGUGCUUGUUAAGUUCAGAUGCUCUCAGAGUGAGAGAAGGUACUGUUACGAUACAGUAGACGUGCCCUGCCUUCAUAUUCUAGAGUCAUCCCAGAGUCAUCCCAGAGUCAUCCAGUGUCUUCUUCAUUGGGUGCAUGCCAUGACAAAAGAUUUACAGCUCAUUUUGGAUUCUCAUUUUGGAUUCUCUAUGCACCUCAACAAUGCUGUCAAUCAUGUUUUGAGUCGAUGCCAGCCCCAGGCUCAUGUUCUCUCACUCUGGCACGCACACGCACGCACACGCACGCACGCGCGCGCACACACAC
Oncorhynchus mykiss (rainbow trout) is the source of this 2037-nucleotide non-coding RNA. Lineage: Eukaryota; Metazoa; Chordata; Actinopteri; Salmoniformes; Salmonidae. The record is from RefSeq and is a predicted model, not a curated record.